GCCUGUUUAACAAAAACAUCGCUUUAUGGGGCUUAUAUAAGGUUUGGCCUGCCCACUGUAAUUGAAGGGUCGCAGUAUAUUGACUGUGCAAAGGUAGCAUAAUCAUUAGUCUUUUAAUUGGGGGCUGGUAUGAAGGGUUGGAUGAAGUAAAAGCUGUCUCUAGUGGGGGAUGAAGAAAUUAGCUUUUUAGUCAAAAGGCUAAGAUAUAAUUAGAGGACGAGAAGACCCUAUAGAUCUUUAUAAAACUAUAUAAAAUUAUAAGAUGAGGUAGAAUUUUAUAAAAUUUUUAUUUGGUUGGGGUGACAAGGAAAUAAUAUAACUUUCUUAUGUAGAACACUGAUUAGUGAUUAGGGGUUCCAUAAUUUAUGAUUAGAAGAGUAAGUUACCUUAGGGAUAACAGCAUAAUCUUCUUAGAGAGUUCUAAUCGAUAAGGGGGGUUGUGACCUCGAUGUUGGAUUAAGAUUUAGCUUGGGUGCAGUAGUUCAAGAUAAGGGUCUGUUCGACCUAUAACAUCUUACAUGAUCUGAGUUCAAACCGGAGCUCC
This 544-nucleotide ribosomal RNA is filed under the name Nonnullidens sp. 15 CSC-2019. Its description in RNAcentral is "partial large subunit ribosomal RNA". It matches the Rfam family "Bacterial large subunit ribosomal RNA", at positions 1798 to 2627 of the family's 2925-position model. Lineage: Eukaryota; Metazoa; Arthropoda; Insecta; Ephemeroptera; Leptophlebiidae. The record is from RNAcentral.